This 76-nucleotide transfer RNA is filed under the name Marinococcus halophilus. RNAcentral describes it as "tRNA-Asp". It matches the Rfam family "tRNA". From Rfam's summary of the family: Transfer RNA (tRNA) molecules are approximately 80 nucleotides in length. The record is from RNAcentral. Lineage: Bacteria; Bacillati; Bacillota; Bacilli; Caryophanales; Bacillaceae. RNAcentral also lists the same sequence under 7 other names.
GGGCCUGUGGUGUAGUGGUUAACAUGCCUGCCUGUCACGCAGGAGAUCGCGGGUUCAAAUCCCGUCAGGCCCGCCA